RNAcentral lists this transfer RNA (102 nucleotides) under Streptomyces fructofermentans. RNAcentral's name for it is "tRNA-Gly". Lineage: Bacteria; Bacillati; Actinomycetota; Actinomycetes; Kitasatosporales; Streptomycetaceae. The record is from RNAcentral.
GGGCCUCUUUCGGCGUCCCGGCGGCACCUCUCCCCCGGCUCCCGCCCGCGGGGCUCCGGAACCCCGCGGGGACCCGGUCCGGUCCCGGCCGACAGAGGUCCG